This 157-nucleotide unclassified non-coding RNA is filed under the name uncultured fungus. RNAcentral describes it as "sequence contains ITS1, 5.8S rRNA gene". Lineage: Eukaryota; Fungi. The record is from RNAcentral.
CCUUAACUGUAGCGGGCUUGUUGGCUCGUCCAGCAGGCUCCAGCUGCACCCACCCUGAUUUUGCGUACCAUUGUUUCCUUGGCAGGGCAACUUGCCAACAGGACCACUUUAAACCCCUUUUCAAUGCAGUUAGUCAGAUGUAUAAACAAUGACUUAA